CAAGUACUCCCUCCGUCCGGAAUUACUUGUCAUCAAAAUGGAUGUACCCAGAACUAAAUACAUCUAGAUACAUCCAUUUCAAUGACAAGUAUUUUCGGACGGAGGGAGUACAAG
This is a non-coding RNA of Triticum aestivum (bread wheat), 114 nucleotides long. Lineage: Eukaryota; Viridiplantae; Streptophyta; Magnoliopsida; Poales; Poaceae. The record is from Rfam.